This 492-nucleotide ribosomal RNA is filed under the name uncultured bacterium. RNAcentral's name for it is "partial 16S ribosomal RNA". It matches the Rfam family "Bacterial small subunit ribosomal RNA", at positions 29 to 507 of the family's 1533-position model. The record is from RNAcentral.
AGUGAACGCUGGCGGUAGGCCUAACGCAUGCAAGUCGAACGGCAGCACAGUAAGAGCUUGCUCUUACGGGUGGCGAGUGGCGGACGGGUGAGGAAUACAUCGGAAUCUACUUUUUCGUGGGGGAUAACGUAGGGAAACUUACGCUAAUACCGCAUACGACCUACGGGUGAAAGCAGGGGAUCUUCGGACCUUGCGCGAUUGAAUGAGCCGAUGUCGGAUUAGCUAGUUGGCGGGGUAAAGGCCCACCAAGGCGACGAUCCGUAGCUGGUCUGAGAGGAUGAUCAGCCACACUGGAACUGAGACACGGUCCAGACUCCUACGGGAGGCAGCAGUGGGGAAUAUUGGACAAUGGGCGCAAGCCUGAUCCAGCCAUACCGCGUGGGUGAAGAGGGCCUUCGGGUUGUAAAGCCCUUUUGUUGGGAAAGAAAAGCAGCAGGUUAAUACCCCGCUGUUCUGACGGUACCCAAAGAAUAAGCACCGGCUAACUUCGUG